Molecule: ribosomal RNA, 497 nt
Filed under: uncultured bacterium
Lineage: Bacteria
Description: partial 16S ribosomal RNA
Rfam family: Bacterial small subunit ribosomal RNA
Source: RNAcentral
GAUGAACGCUGGCGGCGUGCCUAAUACAUGCAAGUCGAGCGAACGGACGAGAAGCUUGCUUCUCUGAUGUUAGCGGCGGACGUGUGAGUAACACGUGGAUAACCUACCUAUAAGACUGGGAUAACUUCGGGAAACCGGAGCUAAUACUGGAUAAUAUUCUGAACCGCAUGGUUCAAAAGUGAAAGACGGUCUUGCUGUCACUUAUAGAUGGAUCCGCGCUGCAUUAGCUAGUUGGUAAGGUAACGGCUUACCAAGGCAACGAUGCAUAGCCGACCUGAGAGGGGGAUCGGCCACACUGGAACUGAGACACGGUCCAGACUCCUACGGGAGGCAGCAGUAGGGAAUCUUCCGCAAUAGGCGAAAGCCUGACGGAGCAACGCCGCGUGAGUGAUGAAGGUCUUCGGAUCGUAAAACUCUGUUAUUAGGGAAAAACAUAUGUGUAAGUAACUGUGCACAUCUUGACGGUACCUAAUCAGAAAGCCACGGCUAACUACGUG